This 450-nucleotide ribosomal RNA is filed under the name uncultured Glomus. Its description in RNAcentral is "SSU rRNA". It matches the Rfam family "Eukaryotic small subunit ribosomal RNA", at positions 569 to 1025 of the family's 1831-position model. Lineage: Eukaryota; Fungi; Glomeromycota; Glomeromycetes; Glomerales; Glomeraceae. The record is from RNAcentral. RNAcentral also lists the same sequence under 1 other name.
AGCAGCCGCGGUAAUUCCAGCUCCAAUAGCGUAUAUUAAAGUUGCUGCAGUUAAAAAGCUCGUAGUUGAAUUUCGGGACCAAUAUGUCGGUCGUGCCUCGGUACGUACUGGCAUCGUUGGUUUCUCCCUUCUGACGAACCAUGAUGUCAUUUAUUUGGUGUCGUGGGGAAUCAGGACUGUUACUUUGAAAAAUUAGAGUGUUUAAAGCAGGCUCACGCUUGAAUACAUUAGCAUGGAAUAAUGAAAUAGGACGUUUGAUUCUAUUUUGUUGGUUUCUAGGAUCGACGUAAUGAUUAAUAGGGAUAGUUGGGGGCAUUAGUAUUCAAUUGUCAGAGGUGAAAUUCUUGGAUUUAUUGAAGACUAACUACUGCGAAAGCAUUUGCCAAGGAUGUUUUCAUUAAUCAAGAACGAAAGUUAGGGGAUCGAAGACGAUCAGAUACCGUCGUAGUC